GCACUGCUGAGGAGUCCCACAAUAGGACGAAACAGCUGUCCAGUGC
This is a non-coding RNA of Schistosoma mattheei, 46 nucleotides long. Lineage: Eukaryota; Metazoa; Platyhelminthes; Trematoda; Strigeidida; Schistosomatidae. The record is from Rfam.